GGAGGUGGCUCAGCGGUAGAGCGCUCGCCUGGCAUGCGUGCGGCCCGGGUUUGAUCCUCAGCACCA
Molecule: transfer RNA, 66 nt
Filed under: Marmota monax (woodchuck)
Lineage: Eukaryota; Metazoa; Chordata; Mammalia; Rodentia; Sciuridae
Description: tRNA.Ala
Rfam family: tRNA
About the family: Transfer RNA (tRNA) molecules are approximately 80 nucleotides in length. Their secondary structure includes four short double-helical elements and three loops (D, anti-codon, and T loops). Further hydrogen bonds mediate the characteristic L-shaped molecular structure. tRNAs have two regions of fundamental functional importance: the anti-codon, which is responsible for specific mRNA codon recognition, and the 3' end, to which the tRNAs corresponding amino acid is attached (by aminoacyl-tRNA synthetases). tRNAs cope with the degeneracy of the genetic code in two manners: having more than one tRNA (with a specific anti-codon) for a particular amino acid; and 'wobble' base-pairing, i.e. permitting non-standard base-pairing at the 3rd anti-codon position.
Source: RNAcentral